This 105-nucleotide transfer RNA is filed under the name Bipolaris maydis (southern corn leaf blight pathogen). Its description in RNAcentral is "tRNA-Arg". It matches the Rfam family "tRNA". From Rfam's summary of the family: Transfer RNA (tRNA) molecules are approximately 80 nucleotides in length. Their secondary structure includes four short double-helical elements and three loops (D, anti-codon, and T loops). The record is from RNAcentral. Lineage: Eukaryota; Fungi; Ascomycota; Dothideomycetes; Pleosporales; Pleosporaceae. RNAcentral also lists the same sequence under 2 other names.
GUCUCGGUGGCGCAAUGGUAGCGCGUUGGACUUCUAUUUCUAAGCUCUGUAAAUUUGCUUUAUCCGGUUAUCCAAAGGCUGCGGGUUCGAGCCCCGCCCGAGAUG